CCAGAGAUGGAUUGGUGCCUUCGGGAACUGUGAGACAGGUGCUGCAUGGCUGUCGUCAGCUCGUGUUGUGAAAUGUUGGGUUAAGUCCCGCAACGAGCGCAACCCUUAUCCUUUGUUGCCAGCGGUUCGGCCGGGAACUCAAAGGAGACUGCCAGUGAUAAACUGGAGGAAGGUGGGGAUGACGUCAAGUCAUCAUGGCCCUUACGACCAGGGCUACACACGUGCUACAAUGGCAUAUACAAAGAGAAGCGACCU
Molecule: ribosomal RNA, 255 nt
Filed under: Klebsiella pneumoniae
Lineage: Bacteria; Pseudomonadati; Pseudomonadota; Gammaproteobacteria; Enterobacterales; Enterobacteriaceae
Description: partial 16S ribosomal RNA
Rfam family: Bacterial small subunit ribosomal RNA
Source: RNAcentral